UACGGAGGGGGCUAGCGUUGUUCGGAAUUACUGGGCGUAAAGGGCGCGUAGGCGGCCCGCCAAGUCCGGCGUGAAAGUCCUGGGCUCAACCCGGGGACGGCGCUGGAGACUGGCGGGCUGGAGUCCGGGAGAGGGUGGCGGAAUUCCCAGUGUAGAGGUGAAAUUCGUAGAUAUUGGGAAGAACACCGGUGGCGAAGGCGGCCACCUGGCCCGGGACUGACGCUGAGGCGCGAAAGCGUGGGGAGCAAACAGGAUUAGAAACCCCCGUAGUCC
RNAcentral lists this ribosomal RNA (273 nucleotides) under uncultured bacterium. Its description in RNAcentral is "partial 16S ribosomal RNA". It matches the Rfam family "Bacterial small subunit ribosomal RNA", at positions 524 to 796 of the family's 1533-position model. The record is from RNAcentral.